CGAGAUUCAAAAUGAUCCAAAAAACAGAGAAUCAUAAACCCAUUUCAAACGGAGUGAAAUACAUAUGUAUAAACAAAAACAACAACAACUAAGACCUCAACACGAGAAAUAGAUUGGCAUAUAAAUUUGCAUUCUCCUUCAAUUCAUCCACAACAACUCUGUUUACAAAACACUUCCAACUGUUCGCUGCUCCAAAUCAACAUGCAUUCUAACUGUCCAACCAUUCCUUCACAAAAAGAAUGAGGCUUUACUAUGUAAAUUUUCCAUAAAAUAUGGCAUUCAAUUAGUGUUGUAUUGUGCUGUGCUGUGUUUGUUUUGGGUUCGACGUGACAUGUUUUCGUGGAACAGAACCUUCAUCGCCAUAGCUCGCCGGAGCCAGUGCAGCUUCUGCUCGUCACUCUGAAACCUUGUUUGCUGUCGAUCUUUGUCUCGAAAAUUUCCACAGGGCAUCUUUCUUCAUCUUCUUCCUGGACGGAGCAUCAGCGGCGGAGUUGUUCGAUGAUACCGAGUGUCGAGGCUCCAUCGCCACAUCGUACCGCCCGUUCACUUCUCUCACGGUGAUGGUUUGUUGUCGACGCACUCAUCCGUGUUCAGCUUCACGACCUUGCCCGCACCGUCAUCGGCACCCAGCGAGUACUCCAUGUACGUGUCUCUACAAUCCGUGUACAUCGUGUAGCUGUUGUUCGCGUGGACCGUUGCCACUUUUGUCGUGUACUGACACAUGUCCACCCUCAUAUCCAAGGGUCGUGAGGUCAGGUUGAUGAUCUGCGUGGAACCCAUGUCGCGGAAAUCUCAUCAACAACAAGCUGCAAUAUCGCGAUCACGGUUUCGGUAAUAACGCCGUCUAUCCAGGCUCGCGGAAUCAGACCAACGAGCGACUGACAGCAUCGAUAUCACCCGAUCAACGCAGAAUCUGCACACUGCACCACUCAUCUAUCGAUCUAGUGAACUCAAGAUCCUGGCUCUGGGUGUUCGCACGCAAUGUGAGUCCGAUCACAAGGUAUACGCAAUCGCUGCAUAAUCAAGGAAUACUACUAAUAUCUGAUUAGGCAACCCGAUGGCGGUUCCAGUUCAAUCGCACCUUCUAUCCCCACAACAAGGUUCAGAAUUGCAAUGUACGUCGAUGUUCUUCAACCUUCGCUUUUUGCUGGAUCAUUGAAUUGUGUCUGGACGCUGUCCCACAGAUUCAC
This 1190-nucleotide long non-coding RNA is filed under the name Physcomitrium patens. RNAcentral's name for it is "long non-coding RNA (PPAT_LNC012050)". Lineage: Eukaryota; Viridiplantae; Streptophyta; Bryopsida; Funariales; Funariaceae. The record is from RNAcentral.